Molecule: unclassified non-coding RNA, 727 nt
Filed under: Hevea brasiliensis (rubber tree)
Lineage: Eukaryota; Viridiplantae; Streptophyta; Magnoliopsida; Malpighiales; Euphorbiaceae
Source: RNAcentral
ACAACAGCAGAAGCUCUUGAACCGUAAGAUAGUUACCGAAAUUUCACCUGCCAAGAAAUUCUACCGAGCUGAAGAAUAUCACCAGCAAUACCUUGCAAAAGGAGGCCGUUUUGGAUUUAGGCAAUCUCCUGAGAAAGGCUGCAAUGAUCCCAUCAGAUGCUACGGAUGAAUUGCCUCCCUCGAAAACUGCAAAUAUUGGCUUAAGUAAACACUGGUAGACUAAUUAUUUAUUUUGAUAUAACUAAAGCUUUUGUAUACGUUGCUGGGCUGAGCAUGAUUUGCAUGUUUAGGUUCCAGGACAUGAAUCUGUAAUAGUUUAUAUACUUUGAGGAGUGUGCGUUUUACUAUCUGUGUAAAGCAUUUAGCCUGGGCAAAUUGGUUGGCAAAUAAGAAAUAAAGCGUUUUAUACUGUCAAUGAAGUUUGUUCACUCUGGAGUACGAAGGAGUACAUGGACAACUGUACACCGUACCCAUUACUGGAUGGGCUGGUUGAAGGAUCCGGUCUGAUUAUUGGUCCUUGGCCCAACUUAAAAUCCAAGUAACUUGUAUAAAUUCAGUACGACAUUCUUUGUGUAUGUUACUUGGUUGAGUUAAGCAAAAAAUUAUUGGUCCAAAACAAGAAGACAGCUCAAUGUGGUAUUGAAUUUGAAGGGAGAUUGUGCUCUUACUCUAUGUUUGAUAGAGUAUAGUGUAAUAUAAUAUAAUUAAUUAUGUAAUAAAAUUAAAA